UUUCCGUAGGUGAACCUGCGGAAGGAUCAUUAACACUAAUCCAACUCAACUCAACGAAGCCUUCAGUUGCAGCAGUGCGUGCUAGCGCAAGCAGUGCCGCCGCUGCAGCACCAAAACAAACUAAUUCAUGCAAAGGAGCCUAACUAAGCUCAACCACAUCAACCAAAUUCUCAACGAUGGAUAUCUUGGUUCCC
Molecule: unclassified non-coding RNA, 194 nt
Filed under: soil metagenome
Description: partial contains small subunit ribosomal RNA, internal transcribed spacer 1, and 5.8S ribosomal RNA
Source: RNAcentral